GGAGUGUGGGGACAUUCCCGCCAUGAGGCGGGUCACCACACUGAUCACCAGGGUCAAUGCGACUGACCUGGGUGGCUAGGAGGCUACCUGCUUCCUCCCUCGCCAUGGCUCCAUGUGUGUCCCCCUGAAGCUGCCUGCUUGGUGAAGAAAAAAAGACCUUCCCUGAGCGAGGAGGACAGAUCUUCCAUCAAGGGGCGCACAGACAGCUAUGCUGCUCUGCUGAAACUGUCAAUCUCCCCAGGGUGUGAACUAGCCAACAACAACGUUAUGUUAAUAAUAGUAAAGAUUUGGGGGAGGGGUAAGUGGGCUCUGAUACCAAAGUGGGUUUUACCCUUUUU
Molecule: small nuclear RNA, 338 nt
Filed under: Microtus ochrogaster (prairie vole)
Lineage: Eukaryota; Metazoa; Chordata; Mammalia; Rodentia; Cricetidae
Description: 7SK RNA (ENSMOCG00000011827.1)
Rfam family: 7SK RNA (bases 2-196)
About the family: 7SK was discovered as an abundant small nuclear RNA in the mid-70s but a possible function has only recently been suggested.
Source: RNAcentral